RNAcentral lists this ribosomal RNA (253 nucleotides) under uncultured bacterium. Its description in RNAcentral is "partial 16S ribosomal RNA". It matches the Rfam family "Bacterial small subunit ribosomal RNA", at positions 524 to 776 of the family's 1533-position model. The record is from RNAcentral.
UACGUAGGGUGCGAGCGUUAAUCGGAAUUACUGGGCGUAAAGCGUGCGUAGGCGGUUCGUUAUGUCUGCUGUGAAAGCCCCGGGCUUAACCUGGGAAUGGCAGUGGAAACUGGCGGGCUUGAGUGUGGCAGAGGGGGGUGGAAUUCCGCGUGUAGCAGUGAAAUGCGUAGAUAUCGGGAGGAACACCAGUGGCGAAGGCGGCGAUCUGGGAAGAUACUGACGCUGAGGUGCGAAAGCGUGGGGAGCAAACAGG